RNAcentral lists this unclassified non-coding RNA (276 nucleotides) under Hevea brasiliensis (rubber tree). Lineage: Eukaryota; Viridiplantae; Streptophyta; Magnoliopsida; Malpighiales; Euphorbiaceae. The record is from RNAcentral.
AUGGACUUGCCGAUGAGGGUGUUCUUUGCGACGACGAGGCGAGCGGUUUUCGGGAGAGCGCCGCGGAGGGCCUGGAGCUGGCGGACGGAGAGGCCGUGGCACCAGAAGCCGGCGAGAAGGUGGCAGCCGUCGAGCUGGCGCUGGAGGGUUUCGGCGCGGGCACGGCGGAGGGCGGCGCGGAUGGUGGAGGCGACCAGCGGCAUUGGGGCGGCGGGGUUGGGACCGAUUUGGGGUUUGAUGGGAGUGAGAUUGCUGGGCCCCACGUGUCAUCAUCAU